AUCCUACUUCAAAAACAUCACCAAAGAGUUGUAAGGAAUAACCAGUCCUCUACCAGUGCAGCAGAUUCUUGCCUUUGACUGUGGCGGUGGCCAGAAGGAACGUGCCAAAGCCAAAGAGGCCUUAACUGAGAUGCCUCAUGGGAAUUAAACGGCACAUAUGAAGUGGUUUGUAAUACCAUGGUUUUCCGACUGUCCUGAUUGGUUCUUGAUGUGUUUAUGGUUCAUUAUAUGAAAUUAUUAUUUGUAUGCUUUUUUCCCAAUUUCUUCUAUUUUCUUCUUUAAAUAUACAUUAAGAAAAGUUGUGAGAUUGUUUAACUAUUUGUGUAUCAAUGUUUAAAGGAUAGUUCACCAGAAAAUGAAAAUUUGCUGUUAAUUUACUCACCCUCAAGCCAUCCAUGAUGUAGGUGACAUUUUUAGCUGAAACCAUGGUCCUUGGUGAAUGCAAGUCAAUGGCUACAGUCACUUUGAGAGUCAUAAAAACAUAUUACAGGCAAAACAAAGUUAAUACCUGUGACUGAUGCUGACAUUACAUUGAGGUCUUAUGAAGCGAAACAGACCAAUGUUUUCGCUUCAUUAGACCUCAAUGAAUCAUCUGGAGCCACACGUAUUCAUUUUGUUUUGCCUGAAUAUGUUUUUUUGACUCUCAAAGGGACUAGCCAUUGACUUUUAUAUUAUACUUUUAUAUUAUACAAAUCACCAAGGACCACAUUUUCAGCUAAAAAUCUUCUUUACUGAUAGUAAAUUAACGGCAAAUUUUCAUUUUUGGGUGAAUGAUCCCUUUAAGCUUAUUGAAUAUGAUGUAACUAGAGACUUAGGAUUAGUUCACUUUCAAAUGAAAAUUACCCCAAGCUUUACUCACCC
Long non-coding RNA from Megalobrama amblycephala (Wuchang bream), 861 nucleotides. RefSeq lists it as uncharacterized. Lineage: Eukaryota; Metazoa; Chordata; Actinopteri; Cypriniformes; Xenocyprididae. The transcript is spliced from 3 exons. The record is from RefSeq and is a predicted model, not a curated record.